GUUCAGCCCAAGAGAUAAUACUGGGCUUUCCCUGCCGACUUUAGGCCUGUUAUUGCCAUAACUUCGACGACUUCAUCGACUCCGACAAACACAGUUCUCCGUCGCCAUCGGGCGAUCGAACCCUCGGCCUCGGCCCACUCUGCGGCGGUGGCCGGUGGAUUCGGGCCGCCCAUGGUGGCGACGCCGUUGCUUGUGGGAUCCUCCAUCUCUCAGCCGACCGUCUCCGCCACCUCCUCCUCGGCUCCGGAUGCUUCACCUUGGGCUACCUCCUCGUCUCCGCCUCCCCACCCUCCUCCGACGGCGACGACAACAAGAAGAGGCGGAAUCCGGCCGGCUUUCACUUCCUAUCUUGGUCCCAGAACGUUGUCUCCAGGGCCAGCGCCGCCGCCGACGCAGUGGACGCGGAGAGGACCAAGCAGAGGAAGCCCGCGGUCCCUAAGAUCGAGAACCUCGCCCAUAUUCUCGAAGCCCUCGAUAAAGCUUGCAGCUUUUCUGGAAUUCCGAUGCUUGUCAGGUCCCAGAGACUUGAAAUGUGUUUUUUGAAGUGUUUCUGAACCGAAGAGUCCAUUGGAUCUCUCAUUGAAGAAUCCAGACCCAUUUAAACUCGGUACCAAGCCAAAUGCUUUCUCCUAUUGUCUUAUUCUGUUGCAUCUUUUUAGAUGCCAAUGUCUUUCUUCUUCUCACAAUUACAUGUGUAGUAUUGUGUGAAGUUUGGGUACUUUCUUCUGCAAGUUCUGGUUGUUAGGAAUGACUUUGAAGAUUGGAAAAGGGAAGAUUGCAGCGCGAUGCAGGACCAGCUGAUGUGGUUGAUGAUGUGACAAGCAGCUUGAAGCUUUUGUAGUUUUGCAUCACUAACCCAGCAUACAAGAUAGACAUCUUGCUGAGGAAGCUGAAGGAAAAUCCCAUUUUCCACUGUUUGUGGCUAUUCAGAAAAGCAGGUGGAAGGCAUGCGGUCUGUUCGAAAUCAGAAAACCUCGGUUCCCACUAUCCUCACAGGAUAUGGUUGGUGAUAUUAGAUCCUUCAGCUCCACUCAGCCUGCAUUUCUCUUAAAUUGCUGUGCAUUGCAUUUGAAGAUUGUUGGUUCGAACUAGUUUAAUUUCAGUGAUGUGCAUUACAUCUGAAGAUCAGCAGUAUGAACCUUCUAAAUGUGGAGACCAUGCCAAACACUUUUGUAGAUUUUCUACGUGCAAGGAAUGUGAUUUACAAGUAUUAUUUGUCCCUUGGCUUUCUAAGAUAGAGACUUAGUACAAUCCCUAUUCUGUGGACUGUGAUCCCAUAUAUUGAAAUGGCAUUUCCUUUUAAUCA
Molecule: long non-coding RNA, 1306 nt
Organism: Elaeis guineensis (African oil palm)
Lineage: Eukaryota; Viridiplantae; Streptophyta; Magnoliopsida; Arecales; Arecaceae
Source: RefSeq, a predicted model, not a curated record